This 604-nucleotide ribosomal RNA is filed under the name Bolitoglossa zapoteca. RNAcentral's name for it is "partial 16S ribosomal RNA". The stretch from base 41 to 152 matches the Rfam family "Bacterial large subunit ribosomal RNA", at positions 714 to 852 of the family's 2925-position model. Lineage: Eukaryota; Metazoa; Chordata; Amphibia; Caudata; Plethodontidae. The record is from RNAcentral.
CUAGCAAGUCCAACCUUACAAAAAGAAUUUAGCAAGUCCCCCCGAAACCAGGCGAGCUACCUCGAGGCAAUGUUUCCCCCGGUCUCUGUAGCAAAAGAGUCGGGAGACCUCAUGGUAGAGGUGAAAAACCAAACGAGCCUGGAUAUAGCUGGUUGCUUGAAAAAGAAUUUAAGUUCACACGAAAGCCUUCUUACCUUUUAGGAAAAUUUAGCCUUUUAUACUAAUUAAUUGAGUUACAGCCCAAUUAACCAGGGAAACAACCCACACAAUGAAUAAUGAUUUUCAAGAAAUUGAACCAAGUAGGCCCAAAAGCAGCCACCAAACAAUAGCGUCAAAGCUUAACUCAAAAUCCAUCAACUAUCCCAUUAAACCAUCCUAAUUCAACAAAGUAAUCAAGCUAAUCUAUCUUUAGAUGAACUACUACUAGAAUUAGUAAUAAGAACCUAUUCUCUACAAUACAAGCGUACAUCAGACUGAACCAAUCACUGAUAAUUAAUGAAACUAUUUACUAAACAAGCAUUUAAUAAUUUUUAAACAUUAACCCAACACAGGAGUAUUUAAGAAAGAUUUUAAGCCUAGAAAGGAACUCGGCAAACUUAGGCUC